This 45-nucleotide non-coding RNA is filed under the name Schistosoma curassoni. The record is from RNAcentral. Lineage: Eukaryota; Metazoa; Platyhelminthes; Trematoda; Strigeidida; Schistosomatidae.
AUACAGCUGACGAGUCCUUAAUAGGAAGAAACGCGUGUCCUGGAU